Molecule: RNA transcript, 1425 nt
Organism: Columba livia (rock pigeon)
Lineage: Eukaryota; Metazoa; Chordata; Aves; Columbiformes; Columbidae
Gene: GSTK1
Gene name: glutathione S-transferase kappa 1
Exons: 8
Source: RefSeq, a predicted model, not a curated record
AACGACCCAAGAAGGUCGAAGCGCGGCUGCGGCCUACGGAGCGGAAGGACACUCCGCCUCCGCCACCGCCCCUCUCCUGCCCCGGGGGAGGUGCUGGGGAGCGCUGGGUAGUGGCCGCUGGAAGGCAGGGGAGGGGACGGGACGCUGUUCAGGAUGGGGCGGACGCUCGUGGAGCUCUUCUACGAUGUGGUAUCCCCUUACUCCUGGUUGGGGUUUGAGGUACUCUGCAGGUACCAGCACAUCUGGAAUAUUGAUCUGCGCUUUCGUCCAGCUUUCCUUGGUGGCAUAAUGCAAGCAACUGGUAACAAGCCCCCAGCAAUGUUGCCAAAGCGUGCAGAAUACCUGCUGAAGGAUAUAAAAAGGAUGGCAGAAUACUACCAAGUGCCUGUACAAAUUUCAGGAGAUGACUUCCAACGUAUUCUUGGUAAAAGCACUCUUGGGGCCAUGCGCUUUAUCACAGCCAUUGACAUGACACAACCACGAUACUUAGAACCCUUAUCUAGGGAGUUCUGGAUACGUUUUUGGUCACAGCAUGAAGAUAUCAGUCAGCCGGAGAAUAUAUUGGCUGUUGCAGGACAGGCUGGGCUGUCAUCAGAGGUUGCCCAGAAACAACUUGAAAUGAUUUCAUCCUCUGCAGUGAAGAACCGACUGAAAGAGACAACAGAGGAAGCAAUAAAAUACGGGGAAACCAAGGUUGACCCAUUCAGCUCAUUCCAGUCAGACGACAAGGAUAGGGAGCUCCAAGGCCAGUAAUAAGAGAUACCAUUUAUCACUACUUGACAUAAAGCUGUGGAUUUAUCAGGCUGCUUUUUUGUUCCUUCAAAAGGGCACACAGGCUCUGGAGAGUCCUUUACUUUUUUUAUAGCUCCAUUAGAUUCAUCUUUAAGAAUGAAAGAGGUGAAAAGAAGGGAAGGGAAAAAAGUCAAAAGUUUUUACUUUUUAUUCCUGAAGAUUGAUCAUGUCUCUGCAAAAAUUUCUCUCAUUAUAAAAUUCUCUGUUUCAUCUCCAUGAUGUCAAUAGGCAUUUGGGAUGCCUACUGUUGUGGCACAUUUUAAUGGGGAACCUCAUCUCUUUUUUGGCUCCGAUCGUUUAGAGCUGCUAGGCAGCAUUAUAGGUGAAAAAUGGCAGGGGCCAGUUCCAUCAGUUCCAAGCCACAAGAUGUGAAAAGUCCUGGGGAAAUAUAUAAAAGGGAAAAUAUACAUGUACAUGAUCAGUCUUCAGAUUAUCUGAAUGUAUCUGAUUUUAUGAAGAGGUGGCUUUCUCGUCUUUAACAGUUCACUUUACAGCUCAGUCCUAUCUCUAAUUAGGAAAAAGUUCAAGGUUUGCCAGUAUUACCAGUCUGGUGAGGUCUUUACCAAUACAAAUGUGCUUCUUUUCUUUCAAAGAUUAAUGAUUAACAUUAAAGAUUAAACAUUAAAUAUUUAA